AUGGAGACAUGGCCUAAAGCCAGACAGUGAGAGACAUGAACUCUUUAGACCAUCACUUGAACUGAUUCACAUCUCAUGUU
Dipodomys ordii (Ord's kangaroo rat) is the source of this 80-nucleotide non-coding RNA. Lineage: Eukaryota; Metazoa; Chordata; Mammalia; Rodentia; Heteromyidae. The record is from Rfam.